RNAcentral lists this ribosomal RNA (254 nucleotides) under uncultured bacterium. RNAcentral describes it as "partial 16S ribosomal RNA". It matches the Rfam family "Bacterial small subunit ribosomal RNA", at positions 524 to 776 of the family's 1533-position model. The record is from RNAcentral.
UACAGGGGGUGCAAACGUUGCUCGGAAUCAUUGGGCGUAAAGCGCACGUAGGCGGUUCGUUAUGUCGGAUGUGAAAGCCCUUGGCUUAACCGAGGAAGUGCAUCCGAAACUGGCGAGCUAGAGUACUAAAGAGGAUCGCGGAAUUCCCGGUGUAGAGGUGAAAUUCGUAGAUAUCGGGAGGAACACCGGUGGCGAAGGCGGCGAUCUGGGUAGAUACUGACGCUGGAGGUGACGAAGCGGUGGGAGCAAACAGG